RNAcentral lists this ribosomal RNA (645 nucleotides) under uncultured Bacilli bacterium. Its description in RNAcentral is "bacterial SSU rRNA". It matches the Rfam family "Bacterial small subunit ribosomal RNA", at positions 76 to 705 of the family's 1533-position model. Lineage: Bacteria; Bacillati; Bacillota; Bacilli. The record is from RNAcentral.
GUGCUUGCACUGGUCAAUCUAGUGGCGAACGGGUGGGUAACACGUGGGUAACCUGCCCAUCAGAGGGGGAUAACAUCCGGAAACGGAUGCUAAAACCGCAUAGGUCUUCGAACCGCAUGGUUUGAAGAGGAAAAGAGGCGCAAGCUUCUGCUGAUGGAUGGACCCGCGGUGCAUUAGCUAGUUGGUGAGGUAACGGCUCACCAAGGCCGUGAUGCAUAGCCGACCUGAGAGGGUGAUCGGCCACAUUGGGACUGAGACACGGCCCAAACUCCUACGGGAGGCAGCAGUAGGGAAUCUUCCGCAAUGGACGCAAGUCUGACGGAGCAACGCCGCGUGAGUGAAGAAGGUUUUCGGAUCGUAAAACUCUGUUGUUAGAGAAGAACAAGUGCUAGAGUAACUGUUAGCGCCUUGACGGUAUCUAACCAGAAAGCCACGGCUAACUACGUGCCAGCAGCCGCGGUAAUACGUAGGUGGCAAGCGUUGUCCGGAUUUAUUGGGCGUAAAGCGAGCGCAGGCGGUUCCUUAAGUCUGAUGUGAAAGCCCCCGGCUCAACCGGGGAGGGUCAUUGGAAACUGGGGAACUUGAGUGCAGAAGAGGAGAGUGGAAUUCCAUGUGUAGCGGUGAAAUGCGUAGAUAUAUGGAGGA